This 274-nucleotide ribosomal RNA is filed under the name uncultured bacterium. RNAcentral describes it as "partial 16S ribosomal RNA". It matches the Rfam family "Bacterial small subunit ribosomal RNA", at positions 523 to 796 of the family's 1533-position model. The record is from RNAcentral.
AUACGAACCGGACAAACGUUAUUCGGAAUUAUAGGGCUUAAAGGGUGCGUAGGCGGCUUGGUAGGUGGGGUGUGAAAUCCCUCGGCUCAACCGAGGAACUGCGCCCCAAACCCCUAAGCUAGAGGGAGACAGAGGUAAGCGGAACUGAUGGUGGAGCGGUGAAAUGCGUUGAUAUCAUCAGGAACACCAGUGGCGAAAGCGGCUUACUGGGUCUCUUCUGACGCUGAGGCACGAAAGCUAGGGUAGCGAACGGGAUUAGAAACCCCAGUAGUCC